UGCCUACGGGAGGCAGCAGUGGGGAAUAUUGGGCAAUGGACGCAAGUCUGACCCAGCAACGCCGCGUGAAGGAAGAAGGCUUUCGGGUUGUAAACUUCUUUUAAGGGGGAAGAGUAGAAGACGGUACCCCUUGAAUAAGCCACGGCUAACUACGUGCCAGCAGCCGCGGUAAUACGUAGGUGGCAAGCGUUGUCCGGAUUUAUUGGGUGUAAAGGGCGUGUAGGCGGGAAUGCAAGUCAGAUGUGAAAACUAUGGGCUCAACCCAUAGCCUGCAUUUGAAACUGUAUUUCUUGAGUGCUGGAGAG
This 305-nucleotide ribosomal RNA is filed under the name uncultured bacterium. RNAcentral describes it as "bacterial SSU rRNA". It matches the Rfam family "Bacterial small subunit ribosomal RNA", at positions 335 to 656 of the family's 1533-position model. The record is from RNAcentral.